UAGGGAAUUUUCGUUCAAUGGGCGCAAGCCUGAACGAGCAAUGCCGCGUGAACGAGGAAGGUCUUCGGAUCGUAAAGUUCUGUUGAAGGGGAAAAAGAGCGGAGAGAGGAAAUGGUCUCCGAUUUGAUAUUACCCUUCGAGGAAGUCACGGCUAACUACGUGCC
Molecule: ribosomal RNA, 164 nt
Filed under: uncultured bacterium
Lineage: Bacteria
Description: partial 16S ribosomal RNA
Rfam family: Bacterial small subunit ribosomal RNA
Source: RNAcentral